Oncorhynchus keta (chum salmon) is the source of this 618-nucleotide long non-coding RNA. RefSeq lists it as uncharacterized. The transcript has 4 exons. The record is from RefSeq and is a predicted model, not a curated record. Lineage: Eukaryota; Metazoa; Chordata; Actinopteri; Salmoniformes; Salmonidae.
ACCAGUGUGGUGGUACAGACUGGGAAGGCUGAGGGUUAUAUGGACCAGUGUGGUGGUACAGACUGGGAAGGCUGAGGGUUAUAUAGACCAGUGUGGUGGUACAGACUGGGAAGGCUGAGGGUUAUAUAGACCAGUGUGGUGGUACAGACUGGGAAGGCUGAGGGUUAUAUGGACCAGUGUGGUGGUACAGACUGGGAAGGCUGAGGGUUAUAUGGACCAGUGUGGUGGUACAGACUGGGAAGGCUGAGGGUUAUAUGGACCAGUGUGGUGGUACAGACUGGGAAGGCUGAGGGUUAUAUGGACCAGUGUGGUGGUACAGACUGGGAAGGCUGAGGGUUAUAUGGACCAGUGUGGUGGUACAGACUGGGAAGGCUGAGGGUUAUAUGGACCAGUGUGGUGGUACAGACUGGGAAGGCUGAGGGUUAUAUGGACCAGUGUGGUGGUACAGACUGGGAAGGCUGAGGGUUAUAUGGACCAGUGUGGUGGUACAGACUGGGAAGGCUGAGGGUUAUAUGGACCAGUGUGGUGGUACAGACUGGGAAGGCUGAGGGUUAUAUGGACCAGUGUGGUGGUACAGACUGGGAAGGCUGAGGGUUAUAUAGACCAGUGUGGUGGCAC